UACGGAGGGUGCAAGCGUUGUCCGGAUUUAUUGGGUUUAAAGGGUGCGUAGGCGGUCUUUUAAGUCAGUGGUGAAAGCCUCCAGCUUAACUGGAGAAAUGCCAUUGAUACUGGAAGACUUGAGUACAGACGAGGUAGGCGGAAUUGACAGUGUAGCGGUGAAAUGCAUAGAUAUUGUCAAGAACACCGAUUGCGAAGGCAGCUUACUAGACUGUAACUGACGCUGAGGCACGAAAGUGUGGGGAUCAAACAGG
RNAcentral lists this ribosomal RNA (253 nucleotides) under uncultured bacterium. RNAcentral's name for it is "partial 16S ribosomal RNA". It matches the Rfam family "Bacterial small subunit ribosomal RNA", at positions 524 to 776 of the family's 1533-position model. The record is from RNAcentral.